This 74-nucleotide transfer RNA is filed under the name Angomonas deanei. Its description in RNAcentral is "Lys transfer RNA (ttt)". It matches the Rfam family "tRNA". Rfam says of the family: Transfer RNA (tRNA) molecules are approximately 80 nucleotides in length. Lineage: Eukaryota; Euglenozoa; Kinetoplastea; Trypanosomatida; Trypanosomatidae. The record is from RNAcentral.
GCAUUCCUAGCUCAGUCGGUAGAGCGUUCGGCUUUUAACCGAAUGGUCGUGGGUUCGAUCCCCACGGAGUGCGC